GAAGUCGGAAUUGCUAGUAAUGGCAGGUCAGCAUACUGCCGUGAAUACGUUCCCGAGCCUUGUACACACCGCCCGUCACACCAUGAGAGUUGGAGAUACCCGAAGCCUGAGAGCUAACUUUUAGAGGCAGCAGUCGAAGGUAGAAUCAAUGAUUGGGGUGAAGUCGUAACAAGGUAGC
RNAcentral lists this ribosomal RNA (178 nucleotides) under uncultured bacterium. RNAcentral's name for it is "partial 16S ribosomal RNA". It matches the Rfam family "Bacterial small subunit ribosomal RNA", at positions 1322 to 1500 of the family's 1533-position model. The record is from RNAcentral.